Small nucleolar RNA from Penaeus monodon (black tiger shrimp), 201 nucleotides. RefSeq annotates it as small nucleolar RNA U3. Lineage: Eukaryota; Metazoa; Arthropoda; Malacostraca; Decapoda; Penaeidae. The transcript has a single exon. The record is from RefSeq and is a predicted model, not a curated record.
AUGAUCAUCCUUUAUAGAUCACUUCUAUAGUGAGAAUUGCGGUUUCUCGCCGAGAUUCUCGGAAUAUGUCAACACGAUGAGGACUUGUUAGUGUACUCCAUCUGAGCGGUAAGCGCUCUCAAGCGUUGUGCUUGAGAGAUUUGAUGACCUUUCUGACUCGGUUUUACGAUGUUGAGAGAAGGAUCACACCAGCUGAGUGUU